This 469-nucleotide ribosomal RNA is filed under the name Loganius flavicornis. Its description in RNAcentral is "partial 28S ribosomal RNA". Lineage: Eukaryota; Metazoa; Arthropoda; Insecta; Coleoptera; Curculionidae. The record is from RNAcentral.
GAGUACGUGAAACCGUUUAGGGGUAAACCUGAGAAACCCGAAAGGUCGAAGGGGGAAAUUCAUUCGCGUUUCGUAAUCGGCGUCGAGCAGUCGUGCGACGAGAACGUUUCGUUUUCGCGCUGUCAGUUCGUCGAUCCGGAAACGAACGCGUGCACUUUUCCCCUGGUAGGACGUCGCGAUCCGUUGAGUGUCGGUCUAAGACGCGCGGUGGAGCCCGUUUGUCGUUUCUCACGAAACGUUUACGAACGGACCCGUGCGAUCCGGCCGACUCGCUCGACGGUAUACGAAUGGUUAAGGGCCGCUUAUUGAAGCGUUCGGCUCGCGUCAAGCGCGUUAGAUGUUGUCGUCAAUCGGACCCGGUGCCGAUUGUGACCUCUGAUGACUGUUGGACGCGAAGUUCUCGAACAGACCCUCGCUGCGUGCAAACGCGGAACCGAUCUGCGACGCUAUAGCUUUGGGUAAUUUCAGG